AUGUUGUACGUCGACAGCUUCCCCGCGGAUAAGUUCUUCCUCCUAUUCGAUUACAUAUUCGACAUGUUUCACGUGAAGAAGCUGGAUUUUACGUUUGUCCGCCUUUAUGCCUUGCACAUGAACUACAUCAUCGGGGUUGAGCAGAUAUCUCAUAUCUGUGUCGCUGACCUGUACUACAUGCACGAGGGCUUCUUGGGAGUCUGUGCAAAGCAUCGUGAAUACGCGAGGGAUUACAUCGUCAGUUUCAUGCUCGCCAAUAAGGACAAGGAAGCGAUUCUCGUGCCUUAUCAUCCCGUCGGCGGGCGCGCCGUCCUCAUCAUCCUCUACCCCCGAUUCUUCGACGCUCUUUACUUGGACUCGUCGAAGAACAUUCAUAAAAAGGAUUACACCCACAUCAAGGAUGUUCUUGACAGUGCUAUGUUUUACUACCAAGCAAGUGGUGGAGAGGUCAGGGACAAGAAGAGAAGGGGCGGCAGGCCCACCUUCAUCCAUAAGACCGACUUCUGCUGCAUCCAGCAACCGAACGAUUCUCUUAAUGAUGGAUUCUAUGUCCUACACCACAUGCUGGAGUACAGACGGGAUCACCAGAACCUUCGCAUAUCACCUAGAUCCGGCGAUGCCCAUAUUCUGCAAUGGGCGAAGGACAUAGGAGAUAUCGAGGAUCAUCGACUUCGAGCUGAGUUCUAUAACAUCCAGCGGGAACUUGCCCAAAUCAUCAUGAAGGAGGUCGUCGAAAAAACAGGGAUGUUCUACGGAGAAGGACAAAUGUCGCGGUAA
RNAcentral lists this ribosomal RNA (777 nucleotides) under Triticum aestivum (bread wheat). RNAcentral describes it as "partial small subunit ribosomal RNA". The record is from RNAcentral. Lineage: Eukaryota; Viridiplantae; Streptophyta; Magnoliopsida; Poales; Poaceae.